CAACAUGCAGGGAGGACGCCAUGUGCAACCGUGGGCAGAGGCCGGGCUGAUGGGUCUACAAGCCCAGGAAAGUCCGAGAUUGCCAGCAAAACACCAGAAGCUGGGGGGAGGCAUGGAGUGGGUUCUUAGAAGGAACCCACCCUGCAACACCUACAUCUCAGACUUCAGCCUCUGAAACUAAUCUCACUCUGUUGCCCAGGCUGGAGUACAAUGGCACGAUCUCAGAUCCACCUCCCGGGUUCAAGCGAUUCUCCUGCCUCAGCCUUCCAAGUAGCUGGGAUUACAGGUAUGCAACCCCACGCUCAGCUAAUUUUUGUAUUUUUUAGUAGAGAUGGGGUUUCAUCGUGUUGAUCAAGCUGGUCUUGAACUCUUGGCCUCAAGUGAUCCGCCUGCCUUGGCCUCCCAAAGUUCUGGGAUUACUUACAGGCAUGAGCCACUGCAACCAGCCAAGUGAUAGUUUCUUGGAGGUGAAUUGCAAUGGGACUUCCAGAAAACAUGUCAUAUUUCU
This 508-nucleotide long non-coding RNA is filed under the name Homo sapiens (human). RNAcentral's name for it is "HSALNT0400031". Lineage: Eukaryota; Metazoa; Chordata; Mammalia; Primates; Hominidae. The record is from RNAcentral.